RNAcentral lists this ribosomal RNA (410 nucleotides) under uncultured microorganism. RNAcentral's name for it is "bacterial SSU rRNA". It matches the Rfam family "Bacterial small subunit ribosomal RNA", at positions 509 to 917 of the family's 1533-position model. The record is from RNAcentral.
CAGCCGCCGCGGUAAUACGUAGGGGGCGAGCGUUGUCCGGACUUAUUGGGCGUAAAGCGCGCGCAGGCGGUCCUUUAAGUCUGAUGUGAAAGCCCACGGCUCAACCGUGGAGGGUCAUUGGAAACUGGGGGACUUGAGUGCAGGAGAGGAGAGCGGAAUUCCACGUGUAGCGGUGAAAUGCGUAGAGAUGUGGAGGAACACCAGUGGCGAAGGCGGCUCUCUGGCCUGUAACUGACGCUGAGGCGCGAAAGCGUGGGGAGCAAACAGUAUUAGAUACCCUGGUAGUCCACGCCGUAAACGAUGAGUGCUAAGUGUUAGAGGGGUCACACCCUUUAGUGCUGCAGCUAACGCGAUAAGCACUCCGCCUGGGGAGUACGGCCGCAAGGCUGAAACUUAAAGGAAUUGGCGGG